CCUACGGGCGGCAGCAGUGGGGGAUAUUGCACAAUGGGGGAAACCCUGAUGCAGCGACGCCGCGUGCGUGAAGAAGCGCCUCGGCGCGUAAAGCCCUUUCAGCAGGGAAGAAAAUGACGGUACCUGAAGAAGAAGCCCCGGCUAACUACGUGCCAGCAGCCGCGGUAAUACGUAGGGGCAAGCGUUAUCCGGAUUUACUGGGUGUAAAGGGGGCGCAGACGGGGUUGCAAGCCAGGGGUGAAAGCCCGGGGCCCAACCCCGGGACUGCUCUUAGAACUGCGUGGCUAGAGUGCAGGAGGGGCAGGCGGAAUUCCUGGUGUAGCGGUGAAAUGCGUAGAUAUCAGGAGGAACACCGGUGGCGAAGGCGGCCUGCUGGACUGCAACUGACGUUGAGGCACGAAAGCGUGGGGAGCGAACAGGAUUAGAUACCCUUGUAGUC
RNAcentral lists this ribosomal RNA (439 nucleotides) under uncultured bacterium. Its description in RNAcentral is "partial 16S ribosomal RNA". It matches the Rfam family "Bacterial small subunit ribosomal RNA", at positions 338 to 795 of the family's 1533-position model. The record is from RNAcentral.